GCUGCCAUCUCACAGCCACAGCCAGGAGCUGGACUGACAGAUUGCAAAUUCAAAUAGUCCUAAUGUAAGAAUGAAUUGAAUGCAACUCCCCUCCCUACCCCCCCAUCCCCCAAAUCUCUCCGAGCACCAGCCCGUUAGUAAUAAGCCCGGCACGGAGGGAGCGUUGCUGCGGCUGGGCUGGUCCUGCGCCCGGAGAAAGGCUAGGCAGGGACAAUAAAGCCAGUCCCGGGCAGAGAAAAUCACAAGGCAUUUGGAGACCAACAACAUCCCAGACCUGCUAGAGGAGCUCAGCAGGAGCAGAGCCAGCACUGCACCAACAUGUGGUUUGAACAGAGGCCUGUGGUAGUCCAACUUGCUGGAAACUUUUAUGUUCAAACCAGGAUGGAUCUUAUCUGAUAAGAAUUUGCCAAGGGCAUCAACAGCAGUUUUCCCAGGCUUCUGCACAAGGAUUAUAUACUCAAGCCACAAAUGACUCAAAUCUCUGAAAAAAAGAGGACAUGGUUAUCAGCCAGGCUUUGACGACAGCAAGGAUGGGAGCACUAUCUGCCUUCCUCCAUCAGAGAUGCUCAUUCCCCCUCAUUAACAUACUCAGGACAUCAGCACCAGCCAUCGCUCCCGGGGGAAUAGCUUCAAACUUUUAAGGGAAUAUGCACAAAACCUCCCCCCUGCAUUAUUUCUAACAGAUCAAAUCGCAUUUGCCUUGUGUGAGGGUUCUUCAAUCCCGUUGAGGAUGCACAGAGCUGAUCUCUAAGUCUGUGAUAUCUGCUGCCACUGUAAGUGUGAAAGAGAGAUGCCUCUACCUGCCUUUUCUUCUUGCCCUCUAAUGAAAAAUGAUUUUGGAGCAACACUGGAAAUAAGCCAUCAAAAUAUCUGAUUAAACCUCUUAGGAAACUGUCACUAAUCACCUUCCCUGCUCUUGAUGGAAUAUAUUUAUGCAUUAUAAAUACACUUACUAUGUGUGUGUGCUCAAUAAAUCACAUUCAGCCCUUGUAUGUGAUGUAUAAGCACAUUCUAUAGAAUACACACAAAUACAGAUGCCAAACUCCCACAGAGUUCAUCACUGGAAAAUGUUUGAAGGGUCUGAUCCUUAAUAUUUAAUGAGCAAGAUGCUAUUUCCUUCCUCAGCUUUUAUCUCUGGUUUGGCAUAGUCAUUAAAUUUGUUGUUUCCUUGCAAGAUUAUAUAAUUUAUGACCUAAUUUUAGACUUUUGUGUAACCAUGCUAAAAUACUCGUGGCGCAUCCGGCUUUCUUCAUGCGGAGCGUUGCGGCGUUAGCCACCAGCUAGAAGCUCAGCUAUGAGCUUCCCAUCAGCAAGGAGUUACAUGCAUUAAGGGAAAAACAGCCCAACAAUAUUCAGAGAGCAUUACAGGAUUAGAUUGUGGUUUAUUUUCUUUUUUUUUCUCUGUAAAAAUAUGAUUUAGCAGCAUUUCCAAAGCCCACCCUGUGCGGCGGUUGGCAGGGAUCCCCAGGUAGGUAAUGCUGUAAUCGCCCAGCAGCUCUUACUGCCUAAAAUAUUUUCCUGCAGCAGCUUCUGACUUUCUAGAUGGCUCUGGGAUGAAUUCAGACAGCCCUCAUCACAGGGAGGGAUGUUCAGAGCUGGGGAAAGCAGGUGAAGAAUGACACUUAGUGCUUCAAAGUGGCUGCCAGCCCCUUGCACUGAGAAGAAAGCAUUUCUCUGCAGCACCAGCCUGGCUGGGGGGAUUUUUUUGCUGCACAAGGUGUUGCCAGAUAACUCCUAAAUGAAUUACACUAAGGCUACAGGCACAUUAUUUUGUGCCUUCUGCAUGUCCAGGCUAAUUCAGUGGUGUCAUAAAUAGUGCCAUGAGUUUUGGGUGUUCUGUCAAUUUAAAGCAUAUUGUUUGGACCAGUCUUUCAUCAUAUCUAAUAUAUUGCCUAUUGCAUUAAUGCCUUUUGAGAGCACUUCAUUCUAGUGUUGAAGAGGGAAGCAGCUCAUGGUUGAGGACAAGGUAAGAUGCUUGCUGUGUGGAUGUAGCACAGUUAUGAGGUUUUUUUCCCCCCUCUGUUGCCUCUUUGCCCCUGAUGUAUCUAACACAGAUGCCAGAGGUAGGGUGCUGCAUCCCUAGUCCAGAACCCUGCACAACAAGGACCGUGUGCCUGCAGCUCACUGCAUCCCUCCAACAUGACAACUUAAUGCAGGGUAUGGGCUGAGGCAAGUGCCUACAGAAGGAAAAAUAAUCCUCCUGCAAAGGUGACAUUGUUUUUUGGAAUAAAAAAGGUUGGAAAGUGUAUCUGCUUGGCUUUAAUGGACCAGUUCCAGGAAAGCAGCAGACACCAAAGUGUUUUCAGUAUCACAUAAUUCAAGAGUAAAAUCAUAAUUCCUGUUACCAUUUCAGCUGUUUCUGGCCUUGGGAAACCUAUGCUAAUAUUUAUUAUUGUAUGACUGACCUAUGAUUUCUUCAUCAUUUACAUUAACAGCUCUGAUAUUCAUAGUAACAUCCUUUAAAUCAUAUAAGCAGAUGUCAACAGUGCAUGAUGAAGUCAUAUCCUGCUGCUUUUUUAUUUACUUAGUCCUUUUUUUCUUUUCUUCCCCCCCCUCCCCCCUGGUAAAAUAACAUUGUGAGAUUGCAUAAUCUCACCUCCACCAGGCCUCUAGGGGCAUAUAUAACCAGGGAAUGUAUUUUCUAUAAUCUCACAAAAUGAGUCAAUUCUAUCAGAGGUACAAACAGUUAUACAGAGUCAGUAUUUCACUCCCAUCACUGCCUGACAUCAUCUUCCACACAGUACAUGAAAAUAUUUACAUAGCUCUUUGACAUGAAUUGCCACAAAGCUUUUGGAGGAACAACAACACAAAUGAGGAAAGUGAGGAAUUAAACCAGCAUAAUGUCAUUGAAAGAAUUUAGCUCCUUUUCUGGGUGCAGCAUUUUGAGCGGGAACUUUGUCAGAUGCCCUCUCACAGUCUUCUGACCGGUCAUAGACACCUCUAAUCUCUACUCUCCGGUGAAGUGCCUAUCUACUACACACAAUCAGAGAGCUGUCCAGAAUAUCCACAAGCUGGAAGCUGAUCCUCUUUCUUCAUCAUCCUCUGAAUGUUUUCUUUGCCCAAGUGAGUUUCUUCGGGUGAAUUAAGACACUGCAUUUAUUUUCCAGGCAGUUUCCCGAGACAUUUCUGUUUACCAUGCAAAGUACCACAGAACAGGCAAUACUUGACAACAUCUUAUUGUUCCAUAUGAGCAUUACCAGCUGUAAUUCUUAUGAGCCCUAAAAUCACUUUUUAUUCCUUCUGCUUUUCCCAGCACAGAGACAGCAGUGACAGGCUCUUUGGAGUUGGACUGAUGGAUUUCCAUCCGGAGAGCACAGCUACUUCUGUACCAUGCAGAUGCCCUCAAGAAUACCUUCUGUCCAGUACCAGCCAGGAUGUGAAGCUCAACAGCCGCAGCCAUCACUUCUGCUCAUCACAGUAGCUGUUACUACCCUGCAAAUAUCAAGAUUAAUGCUCUGUUGGGGAAUAUUCUGCACACACCACCACGUUGCCUCCUGAGUAUGCUGAGAGAGCAAGAACUGGCUGGGAAAGGUAUUGCACUUCUGACAGACAAA
This is a long non-coding RNA of Dryobates pubescens (Downy woodpecker), 3554 nucleotides long. RefSeq lists it as uncharacterized. Lineage: Eukaryota; Metazoa; Chordata; Aves; Piciformes; Picidae. The record is from RefSeq and is a predicted model, not a curated record. The transcript has 6 exons.